RNAcentral lists this ribosomal RNA (407 nucleotides) under bacterium enrichment culture clone ALO1_GLFRUDD03FXBQ5. RNAcentral's name for it is "bacterial SSU rRNA". It matches the Rfam family "Bacterial small subunit ribosomal RNA", at positions 9 to 416 of the family's 1533-position model. RNAcentral also lists the same sequence under 1 other name. The record is from RNAcentral.
GAGUUUGAUCGUGGCUCAGAUUGAACGCUGGCGGCAGGCCUAACACAUGCAAGUCGAACGGCAGCACGGGAGCUUGCUCCUGGUGGCGAGUGGCGAACGGGUGAGUAAUGCAUCGGAACGUAUCCUGGAGUGGGGGAUAACGUAGCGAAAGUUACGCUAAUACCGCAUAUUCUGUGAGCAGGAAAGCGGGGGACCUUCGGGCCUCGCGCUCUUGGAGCGGCCGAUGUCGGAUUAGCUAGUUGGUGAGGUAAAGGCUCACCAAGGCGACGAUCCGUAGCAGGUCUGAGAGGAUGAUCUGCCACACUGGAACUGAGACACGGUCCAGACUCCUACGGGAGGCAGCAGUGGGGAAUUUUGGACAAUGGGGGCAACCCUGAUCCAGCCAUGCCGCGUGAGUGAAGAAGGCC